CUCAGGAAACAGAAGGAGUUCUCAUAUGUCUUCAUAUGUCUUCUUGCACGUGGAGUGAUGCAUUUGGAAGAUGGGAGAGAGGCAUCAUGACAAGUGAAGAGGAAGGAAGAAGUGGUUGGGAAAAAGGAAGCAACUGGAGGAGGUGGGUGGGAUGGGACUUGGCACCAUACGGGCUUGACCUUCCAGAGGAGAGAGGCUUCUGUGAGAUGCCUGAUGGGUAACGGCAGCAGCAGGCAUGGACUGUGGCGUAAUUGCAUUCUGCCUGUCUCCUACAUUUUUCUGGGUUGGGCACCAUUUGUUUCAAAGCUCCUGUUGCGUGGCCAUUAAAUCACCGUUUGCUCUG
This 343-nucleotide long non-coding RNA is filed under the name Mus pahari (shrew mouse). Its description in RNAcentral is "predicted gene 13837 (MGP_PahariEiJ_G0003161.1)". Lineage: Eukaryota; Metazoa; Chordata; Mammalia; Rodentia; Muridae. The record is from RNAcentral.